GCAUAUCAAUAAGCGGAGGAAAAGAAACUAACAAGGAUUCCCCUAGUAACUGCGAGUGAAGCGGGAAAAGCUCAAAUUUAAAAUCUGGCGGUCUUUGGCCGUCCGAGUUGUAGUCUGGAGAAGCGUCUUCCGCGUUGGACCGUGUACAAGUCUCUUGGAACAGAGCGUCAUAGAGGGUGAGAAUCCCGUCUUUGACACGGACUACCAAUGCUUUGUGAUGCGCUCUCAAAGAGUCGCGUUGUUUGGGAAUGCAGCGCAAAAUGGGAGGUGAAUUCCUUCUAAAGCUAAAUAUUGGCGAGAGACCGAUAGCGAACAAGUACCGUGAGGGAAAGAUGAAAAGCACUUUGGAAAGAGAGUUAAACAGUACGUGAAAUUGCUAAAAGGGAAACGCUUGAAGUCAGUCGCGUCGUCCGGAACUCAGCUUUGCUUCGGCUUAGUGCACUUUCCGGUUGACGGGCCAGCAUCGAUUUUGACCGCUGGAAAAGGGCUGGAGGAAUGUGGCACCUUCGGGUGUGUUAUAGCCUUCAGUCGCAUACAGCGGUUGGGAUCGAGGAACGCAGCGCGCCUUAUGGCUGGGGUUCGCCCACAUUCGCGCUUAGGAUGCUGGCAUAAUGGCUUUAAACGACCCGUCUUGAAACACGGACC
Molecule: ribosomal RNA, 645 nt
Filed under: Trametes versicolor
Lineage: Eukaryota; Fungi; Basidiomycota; Agaricomycetes; Polyporales; Polyporaceae
Also listed under: 1 other name
Description: eukaryotic LSU rRNA
Rfam family: Eukaryotic large subunit ribosomal RNA
Source: RNAcentral